RNAcentral lists this ribosomal RNA (465 nucleotides) under Vreelandella stevensii. RNAcentral's name for it is "partial 16S ribosomal RNA". It matches the Rfam family "Bacterial small subunit ribosomal RNA", at positions 338 to 795 of the family's 1533-position model. The record is from RNAcentral. Lineage: Bacteria; Pseudomonadati; Pseudomonadota; Gammaproteobacteria; Oceanospirillales; Halomonadaceae.
CCUACGGGCGGCUGCAGUGGGGAAUAUUGGACAAUGGGCGAAAGCCUGAUCCAGCCAUGCCGCGUGUGUGAAGAAGGCCUUCGGGUUGUAAAGCACUUGCAGUGGGGAAGAAAGCCUUGGGGCUAAUACCCUCGAGGAAGGACAUCACCCACAGAAGAAGCACCGGCUAACUCCGUGCCAGCAGCCGCGGUAAUACGGAGGGUGCGAGCGUUAAUCGGAAUUACUGGGCGUAAAGCGCGCGUAGGCGGUCUGAUAAGCCGGUUGUGAAAGCCCCGGGCUCAACCUGGGAACGGCAUCCGGAACUGUCAGGCUAGAGUGCAGGAGAGGAAGGUAGAAUUCCCGGUGUAGCGGUGAAAUGCGUAGAGAUCGGGAGGAAUACCAGUGGCGAAGGCGGCCUUCUGGACUGACACUGACGCUGAGGUGCGAAAGCGUGGGUAGCAAACAGGAUUAGCUACCCUAGUAGUC